GAUAUGUGAAUACAUAGCAUAUCAGAAGGCACACCCGGAGAACUGAAACAUCUUAGUACCCGGAGGAAGAGAAAGAAAAUUCGAUUCCCUUAGUAGCGGCGAGCGAAACGGGAAGAGCCCAAACCAACAAGCUUGCUUGUUGGGGUUGUAGGACACUCUAUACGGAGUUACAAAGGACGACAUUAGACGAAUCAUCUGGAAAGAUGAAUCAAAGAAGGUAAUAAUCCUGUAGUCGAAAAUGUUGUCUCUCUUGAGUGGAUCCUGAGUACGACGGAGCACGUGAAAUUCCGUCGGAAUCUGGGAGGACCAUCUCCUAAGGCUAAAUACUCUCUAGUGACCGAUAGUGAACCAGUACCGUGAGGGAAAGGUGAAAAGCACCCCGGAAGGGGAGUGAAAUAGAACCUGAAACCGUGUGCUUACAAGUAGUCAGAGCCCGUUAAUGGGUGAUGGCGUGCCUUUUGUAGAAUGAACCGGCGAGUUACGAUUUGAUGCAAGGUUAAGCAGUAAAUGUGGAGCCGUAGCGAAAGCGAGUCUGAAUAGGGCGUUUAGUAUUUGGUCGUAGACCCGAAACCAGGUGAUCUACCCUUGGUCAGGUUGAAGUUCAGGUAACACUGAAUGGAGGACCGAACCGACUUACGUUGAAAAGUGAGCGGAUGAACUGAGGGUAGCGGAGAAAUUCCAAUCGAACCUGGAGAUAGCUGGUUCUCUCCGAAAUAGCUUUAGGGCUAGCCUCAAGUGAUGAUUAUUGGAGGUAGAGCACUGUUUGGACGAGGGGCCCCUCUCGGGUUACCGAAUUCAGACAAACUCCGAAUGCCAAUUAAUUUAACUUGGGAGUCAGAACAUGGGUGAUAAGGUCCGUGUUCGAAAGGGAAACAGCCCAGACCACCAGCUAAGGUCCCAAAAUAUAUGUUAAGUGGAAAAGGAUGUGGCGUUGCCCAGACAACUAGGAUGUUGGCUUAGAAGCAGCCAUCAUUUAAAGAGUGCGUAAUAGCUCACUAGUCGAGUGACACUGCGCCGAAAAUGUACCGGGGCUAAACAUAUUACCGAAGCUGUGGAUUGUCCUUUGGACAAUGGUAGGAGAGCGUUCUAAGGGCGUUGAAGCAUGAUCGUAAGGACAUGUGGAGCGCUUAGAAGUGAGAAUGCCGGUGUGAGUAGCGAAAGACGGGUGAGAAUCCCGUCCACCGAUUGACUAAGGUUUCCAGAGGAAGGCUCGUCCGCUCUGGGUUAGUCGGGUCCUAAGCUGAGGCCGACAGGCGUAGGCGAUGGAUAACAGGUUGAUAUUCCUGUACCACCUAUAAUCGUUUUAAUCGA
This 1311-nucleotide ribosomal RNA is filed under the name Staphylococcus aureus. RNAcentral's name for it is "partial 23S ribosomal RNA". It matches the Rfam family "Bacterial large subunit ribosomal RNA", at positions 153 to 1464 of the family's 2925-position model. Lineage: Bacteria; Bacillati; Bacillota; Bacilli; Caryophanales; Staphylococcaceae. The record is from RNAcentral.